Molecule: long non-coding RNA, 3194 nt
Organism: Ricinus communis (castor bean)
Lineage: Eukaryota; Viridiplantae; Streptophyta; Magnoliopsida; Malpighiales; Euphorbiaceae
Exons: 2
Source: RefSeq, a predicted model, not a curated record
GUAUCUUAACAAAAUGGACCGAAUUGUCCUCUCUUCUUGAGAAGAUCUUUCAUUAUAUAGGCAAGACUGCCAUCUAUACAAGGAAACUAGAGCUGUACAUGUUAAUGACAUAGAGUAAUCCUAGGAAGCUAUAUAUGGUAAGCUAAGUCUCCUCUCCUAUUUAUAAGAAUAUGAGUGAUCCUAGGAAGCUAUGUAUGGUAAGCUAAAUCUCGUUUCCUAUUUAUAAGAGUAUUACAGCCUAAAUUAAUGGCUUAAUUACAGAAACAAUUUAAUUGUUGACCCCAUUUUUGGCUUUCUAUAGACAUCCCCCCUCAAAUUGAUGCGGGUUAUCUACAAGCAUCAAUUUGUUGGCAAGAAAAUUAUGUCUAUGCUGUGUGAGAGCCUUAGUGAAAAUAUCUGCGACUUGAAGAUUGCUUGACACAUGGGGAAGAGAAAUAGUCUGAGCCUCAAAGGCCUCACUGAUGAAGUGGCAAUCAACCUCGAUAUGUUUAGGGUGCUCAUGGAAGAUGGGAUUGGCAGAAAUGUGAAUCGCACUAGUAUUAUCUGCAUGAAGAGGAGUAGGACUGUGCUGAGCAAAACCAAGCUCAGCCAAUAGACUGCGAAGCCACUGUAUCUCAGCACAAGUUUGGGACAUAGCUCUAUAUUUGGACUCAGUAGAAGAGUUAGAAACACGAUCUUGUUUCUUGCUUUUCUAGGAAAUAAGGGCUGGACCAAGAAACAUACACCAUCCCGUAGUAGAACACCUAGUGUCACUACACCGGGCAUAAUCAGCAUUGCUAUAUGCCAUAAGAUCAAGUGAGGUAGCAGCCAGAUAGAAAAGGCCUUGGAAAUUUAUGCCAUUAACAUAGCGAAUUAUUCUUCGAACUGCAGCCAUAUGUAGGUGCCUAGGAGAAGCUAUGAACUGACUAACCUGUUAAACCGCAUAAGAGAUAUCAGGUCUAGUGAUGGUAAGAUAGACCAGGCAGCCAACUAGAGUACGAUAGGCUGCAGGGUCUGAUAAUAAGUUACCUUCAUCUUUGCGCAGCUUGAGAUUAAGUUCCAUAAGAGUAGCAAGAGGAGUAGAGUCUUGGAGACUAGCAGCCAUCACCAAGUCCUAAGCAUACUUAUGCUGAGACAAAAAGAUACCAUGCAAACCCGUAGUAAUUUCUAUACCAAGAAAGUAUAUGAGAGAACCCAGGUCCUUCAUGAAAAAUAAGUCUUGUAAAUGUUGCUUUAGUUGAGAUAUUAGAAUUGAAUCAAUACCUGUGAUGAUUAUGUUAUCGACAUAAACUAAGAGAAUGACAAUGCCAAGCUCAGUUCGGCGAAGAAACAAAGAUGCAUGAUACUUGCUUUUGAAAAAAUCAAACUUGAGUAAGGUGAGUUAAAUUUCUCGUACCAUGCACGAGGGGCCUGCCAUAGACCAUAUAAGGAGCGUCUCAAUUUGCACACUGCAGAAGUAGAGUUAGAAAUUAAACCAGCCAGAGGAUGCAUAUAAACUUCUUCCUUGAGAUCGCCGUGAAGAAAGGCGUAUUUCACAUCCAUUUGGUGCAAACUCCAAGUUUGUGAAGCAACAAUAGCUAAAAUUAUGCGAAUAGUAGUCAUUUUUGCUACCGGAGCAAAAGUCUCAUCGUAAUUAACUCCAUAUUCUUAAUUAUUGCCAAGAGCUACUAAUCGGGCCUUAUACCUAUCCAAACUCCCAUCAGAUUUGACCUUAAUCGAAUAUAUCCAUUUACAUCCAAGUGGAGUCACACCAGCAGGACAAUCAACCACUUCCCAAAUCUCAUUAGCUUCAAGAGUACAUAUUUCUUCCUGCAUGGCCUGCUGCCAGCAUUUCUCUUUGAUUGCCUUUGAGUAACUAGUAGGAAUAGUAAUAGAAGAUAUAGUGGCAGAGAGGACAGAAGUAGAGGUGCCUAUCUUAGAUGAUGGGAAUCCAUAUCGAUCAGGUGGAUCAAUAACUCUAGAUGAGCGAUAUAAGGGAGCAGAUGGCACGACAGGUGCGGAAGGGGGCAGCACUAGAGGUCUGUGCUGAUAUACUGUACUUGGCUUGAACCUUUCAACUUGAGUACUAGGAGCACUAGAAGGGUCAUCAAAAGAAAGCAGUAAUUCAAAAAAAGGCUUUGGUGAUUGAGACAUAGGAAAAAACCAUUGAUUUUCAAAAAAAUAACACAUUUCUCGAGACAUGAACACGAUAGGAGUUUGGAUCAUGGCAUAGAUAACCUUUUUGUGUGACACUAUACCCUAAGAAGGCACAACAGACAGAUUGGGCAGAUAAUUUAUUUUUGUCCGAUGGAGGAAGAUUGAACAAGAUGCAUAAAACAAACACACCCAAAAGUGUAAAGAUUUGUAUAAGUAGGAUGGUGAUGAUGAAGUCUGAAAUUUGGGGACUCAAAAUCCCAAACUUGGGAAGGGAGUCUAUUUAAAAGAAAGGUUGUUGUGGUGAGUGCUUCUACCCAAAACUUAGAAGGAAAAGAUGACGACUCUUUCAUUCAACUACUCCGUUUUGUUGCGGAGAACAAGAAUGUUGAGAAAUAAUCCCUUUAGUUUGCAGAAAAGAUUGGAAUUCAUGAGACAUAUAUUCCCCACCUGAGUCGGACUGAAGAAUUUUUAUAGUAGUUGAAAAUUGAUUUUGUACUAGAGCUAAAAAUAGUUUGAACAUGGAAUAUACUUCUAAUUUAUGACGCAGGAAAUAAACCCAUGUAUAUCUGUUGUAGUCAUCGAUAAAGGUCACAAUAUAUUUGUAUUGGACAUGAGAGAUGGUAGGACUAAUACCCCAAACAUCACCAUGAAUUAUCUCAAAGCUUAUGUUGCUCUACUACCUUCAGAUGGAAAGGGUAAAAUCUUACUUUUGCUAAGUUUACAAGUUGCAUAAUCAAGAAACAUAUUGGGAGAAGAAUGCACUUGAUUAUUAAACAGACCAGAUUUCAACAAAUAAGAUAGAAUCCUAGAGUUAGGAUGACCAAGACGCUUAUGCCAUUACUUCAUUUGACACUUUAGAGCUAUUACUAAGUAAAGCUAAUACUAGGGAAGAAGAUAAGUUGUGCGAAAUAGGUAGUUUCAAAGAAAAUAGACGUCCAUGCUUAGGCCCUUCGCUAUCAACUGCUCUGACAUCUGAUCCUGCACAACGCAACCAUCAUGAGUAAAAUGGACAUCAUAAUUUUGGUCCAUAAGUUGACCAACAGAUACUAAAUUUGUAAAGAGAUUAGGUGGUACAAAAA